CCAGUGCGAACAGCUGAGAGGUGUGAUUUCACAGGCUGGCUCCCCCCUGUCAGGGCCCUGAUUGGGCCGGACAGGAGGCGCAGGAGAGGCCCGGGCUUCUAAAGGACACCAACAGGUGGGAGGCCGCUUUGGAGGGGGGUGCUCCUGGCGGGAUAGAAAAGGCCGAUCUGCAAGGCCUGUUGUGGUCACAAUCCACCGGGCCAGAUAUGGAAGAGGAUGGUUGAUCGCAGGAUAGCUGAGGUGAAGAGAGCAGAGGGGCAGGAUGAAGUUGUGGAAUGGUUCUCGGGGAGGGAUAGUUGAGAUGAGUUUUUUGGCUUUAAAGGGUGGAAAGGGCAGCUUCAGGGACAAGGCAUAAGGUUGGUUGUGUGUUUCUGGUCACAGUGUUCCCUUUUCAAUCUCUGCUUUCUGACCAACAACUUUUUGUAGUUUUUUUUGUUGUUGGUUAAUAUAAAAGGUUAAUAUUUGACAUCAACAAAUGGACAGUACAUUGACAUGGUUUUCUGUUGAGUCAAAGGUCUUACAGAUUCAGACGUUGCAGGCUUUUUAGUCAUUCUAGUUUUUCACCAUGGCAGAGCCUGACACGUCAGUCAGGUGAGGGGAAGCUGAGGUGUGACACAGGAAGGAAUCAGGAAAUUCUCAUCACAGUCUAAUCAAAGAAAAAGGGCUAGUCUUUCUAAUGUCCAGUUGGUUCGGAGCUAGUUGACAUAGCAGUGGUUAGGUUGAUCAAGGAAGUCACCACAAGACAGUGUAGGAGAGGCUGGCUAAACCCAAUGUGGCCUCAAGCUCAACUCCAGCUGCUCACCACAAGAAAACCACAAUAGGAGACGCAACAGGAUUCAAUAAAGGUAAGGCUGAAGAGGACAUGACGGCCUGACCCCUCGAAGAUGAUUCCCGUCUACUAUUUCCUCUCUUUCUCCUCUCUCAUGUCCUUCUUUUUCUAUGUCCUCUACCCCUAUAACCUUCUCUCUCUCCCCCCUCCUCACAGCAUGUCCCCUUCCUGCUCCCCCUCGCUCAGCCGCCUCUUGCAGCUGAAGCAACACGCCUUGCUGUGGCUGGUCAAACGGAACCAAGUCAGGUGUUUCUGUGAGGUUUGGUCCCCUUCAACCAGCUACUGCGUCGUGAAUUCAGUCAGCGUGGAAUCAGAGACACAGUGGCGUUGUGGUGUAUGGCGCUGCAUACUUUGGGGGUUUGUUAUUGAUAGAUUAUUUUUGUUCUCGGGUAGUUUGGUGUUGGUUGUUUCCUGUAUGACAAUGGAUGUUUGAAAAAGCAAAUAAAAGAUUGCUGACAACAUA
Long non-coding RNA from Sander lucioperca (pikeperch), 1292 nucleotides. RefSeq lists it as uncharacterized. NCBI's taxonomy places the organism in Eukaryota, Metazoa, Chordata, Actinopteri, Perciformes, Percidae. The record is from RefSeq and is a predicted model, not a curated record. The transcript is spliced from 2 exons.